Molecule: long non-coding RNA, 8538 nt
Organism: Mus musculus (house mouse)
Lineage: Eukaryota; Metazoa; Chordata; Mammalia; Rodentia; Muridae
Product: predicted gene, 33480
Exons: 2
Source: RefSeq, a predicted model, not a curated record
AGAGAGCAUGUUGUUUAAAAAAAUAAGAAGCAGGCACAAAAUAGGAGCUCUUCAGUCGGAGCUUCCUUCUCUAAUCAGUCUGCGAAUGUUUCGGGGAGUGCUCUAUUUAACUUGGCUGGCCCCGAGUUUUGCCGUGAGUAAUAUGCUGGGCUUAAUUUCAAACUCCACGCAGCCAAGAUCACUGGAUACUUGAGCUUCCCCAAGCUGAGUUGAUACAGCUGCUCUGCCCCUGGUCACUGGUGAGCUGUCCCUGAGGAUCCCAAAGAGUCUUAACAUAAACAGGGGGCCAAAACACCAUUGAAGAGGGAGUUGGCAGCUUCCAUCUUCGUAUCUCUACCAUCUGCAGGCAAACCCUGUGAAGACUGUGUCCGAUGACUACCCCACCCUCAGUCUUAAUUUUGACUCCUGUUACCUCUAACCAGGUCGCUCUCCAGACUGUGUGUCCAGGCUCCCCUGGCCCACUUACCAUCAGUACAUAAUGGCAGAUAGUCACUCCCAAAGGACAGAUCUCACCAUUCUGUUUUAAAGUAUCAGGUGGCCCCCUGCUGAAAUGCAUUGGUCUUCAAGACUCCUUACUCUUGCCUGUGGCCCACAGAAGUCUCCAUACAUUGAGACCUUCAGGCCAUCGCCUUGUCAAAUCUUAGUAUGACCUAGCCUUCCAUCAUGUUUGUGCUGGUGGGUAUUCAUCUGCAAUUACAAGACCAGUUAAGGUAUUCUUUCAAAGAUCUUUGCUAAAGGACCCCAGUCCUGCUGGUUUUCUCAUGCUUUGUAUCCCUUCUUCCCAGGGCUAUAUUAUCUGGACUAUAUCCUCACCAUAUCUUACUUAAACUUUGUCCAUUCCAUCUGCCAAUACAUUUUUGGUAUUCACUACCAGGUAUUGGACCCACAUCCUGUGGUGAGAAUCUGGCUUUUAGUCACAACCCUGCCCUGCCCCACCUGUGACCAAGAAUUACAUCCCCUGACUCAAGUAUCUGCUUUCAACCUCUGUAAAUAGAGAACUGGCUUUGCCCAGAUAGGCAGAACUCUUACCCAUUGGCUACUUCCCCAGAGCCUCAAUCCUUGACCAUUUCUGGAGAUGCAAUUUCAGGCUGGAUAGAAGGGAAGUGUUUGCCUCCUUCCUUAAACAAUAUUUGAUGGCUAAAUGGAGAACCUCACAGAUACUCACCCCAUUGACAGCAAAAGAAGAAAAGAAGUAAAUAAGGAAGUUGGAGGCAAGGAAGGAGAGGAGGUCUGAGGCGAGGACAAUGUACCAACACCCAGGACCAUGAGAGUGAGGCUGAGAGGAAAAGGUUUAGGACGAUGACUGUGCCCCACUUUCCUUAUAGGCAAGAGCCCAGACUUAACUGUGGUCAGCUAGGCCUGUGGAGAAGGAACCUUGGACAUAGGCCUGCAGCUUAGACCUCACUCCUAGGGGGUGACGAAAAUGAGGUGGUUAUUUGUUUUAUGGAAAUGGCCUCCACGAGACUCCAAACACCAAGCGGCAGUCUGCAAGGCACGAGGCAGGCUUUCCUCUGGGUGUGAGAGGAUUUCCUUGGUUUGGUGGGAUGCGUUUGUUUUUUAAAGGCGCCUGUUUAUUUUCUCUUCCUUUAAUGUUAUGAUUUUUUUUCAGACUCACGAGGAGGAGGAUACAUAAUGUACGGCCGAAUCUGCAAUCUCCUAUUUUGUCAGCUGCUUGUGUUGAUUAGAAGUUCAAUACAGAGCCUGUGAUAAAACAGAGCUAUGUUCAAAGGAUCUUGUUAUGUUUUUAAAAGGCUGAUCUUGGCAGAAAAGAUGUAGCAUACAGGCAGGCUGCCUUGCUAUGUUCCUCUUCUUCCGACAGGGAGGGAACUGAGAGAAAUGUUCAGUGUUUUCUGGAACCUAUGGGAUCUUUUACACACACUUAGCUAAGUCCCCCAAAAGGAACAAAGUUCAGCUGAAAUGAGAGGGGCCUGGGGCUGUUGGUGGGACCCACUAGCUGUCUCCUCCUGCAGCUCUGACUGACAGGCUCUCUGUGAGACAUCAGCCUAACUCAGAGAGGAGGCCAUGAAGCAAGUAAAGUCACAGAGCUCCAGGAAUUCCACACCCAGUGAUUCCCCAAACUCAGCCAAGAUGCCAUUCUAGCAAGAUCCCAUCCAACUGCCAGGAACCCAUUGCGUUAAAGACCAGGGAUCACUCAAGGGUCCCCAGAGAGGUGUCAGCAGUGCCCACCUGCUCCUCACCCCACCACCCUUCUUCCUCCCAGACAGCUGCUUCCUGGCAGCCUCCAGUCUCUUGACUCUUACCCUAAAGGAGGCUGAGAAAGGGAUUGCGUAUGUGAACAUCAGGCUAGCCAAAGUCGCUGACUUUAUGCAAAGCAGGCAAAUGCAGUCAAAACACUUACAGCAAUCAAUUCGAGUUGUUGGGUAAAGUUUUUUUUUCCAUGUCCCAUACAUUAUUGAACAGUUAAUUUCGUCUUUGUGCCUGCAAGACCUUCCAGCUCUCAGAUGACAGCUUUAUCCAUUAAGGAGCAAGCGGUGACAGCCUUACAGUGAGAGCCUUGCCAGUCCAGCCUGCCGGGAGGUGUGCUGGCAUCACCACCAAGAAAUCCUGGGACAUAUCAACAUCUUAAUCAAUAUUCGAGAGUCAAUUACUGGGGAAGUGAGGGCUUAAGCAGGAGCUGAUUAUGAGGUUCACGUGCAAAUGGGGCUUGAUCAAUAACGAAGCAGAAUCGCACAGGUGCCAUCACAGCAUUCCCCCCACAACAACAUCCAACUCCCUAACCCCUGCAAGAAGGCCCACAUGACCUCUUCUAGCAUCUUUUCAAACCCACCAGCCACCAAGUCCACUGGAGCUAGCUUGGUUCAUUUCCUUGAUAAGUGUACUGGGAAUGGAGAAAGCAGGGUUUAGGGAACACUCAAAGGCAAAUUUAUUGUUGGAUACACAAACUGAGCCCUUCUGAUAGGCUAUCUGGAAUCAAGACUUCCUCCCCAUGCACAUUUAACUGAACAAGUCCUCCCACUCUGUCUUUGUGAGAAGAGGCCUUGUAAAGGACGCUGAGUCUGAGUCUGUUGUGUUAUCUUUUCCUUGGGAGAUACAACGGGAUGUCCAGGCACCCCAGAGGGUCACCUAGGACAGACCAAAGCACGAUUGUAUCAAAGACAAACUUGGCGAGAGCAAGGAGCUUACUGGGCUUUCUCACAGUGCAUGGGUGAGGAUUAUCUAGGGGAGCAUGGAUGACCCCCAAACAGUGGCAUCACUACCAAGUCAUACCCCCAUCAUGGAUGGCAAUCUCACGGAAGUUUCCUUAUGGAGUCUAUUUUCAAUUAACCUUUUACUUCUCAUAGAUGUUCAUCUCUCCCCAAAUCACUUGAAGCUGGGGAAGAUGUACCAGCUAGGCUCCUGGGUAGAACUGUCCUGACAAUUGCUAGGGAAUGUCAGGGGCCCCAUUGACAUUCCCAUAGACUUGGCUAUCACAGUAUUGUUCCACUUUGGUUGUCAUGGCCAUUCAAACUCCAAGAUGACAUCAUGCUAUAUCUAAAAGAAAAGUCACUAUAUGUCAAAUAUCUUGACUCCCUUCCUCCUCUACUGCAUCUGCAACUUCCUAACUGGCACCUGGGCUCAAAAGUGUCUCCUGAAAUCUAUAUUUGAUUGGCUGUCAGUAAGAUGGAUCAUCCUGGGUAACAAAAUCCAAACUCCACUUUAUGUUUGCAAGACUUCCUAAGAUGUGACCCCAAUGAAGCUCAUGAUAUUAUAUGAAUUUUCUUCCUUAAGCAUUAGCAUGCUUUUUAUAACUUCAUAAUGGCUUUCCCUUCCUUUGUUACUUAGAGUCCCUGAAGCUGUCUCUAAUUCCCUGGGUAAGAGCUGAUGAUACCACAAAGUGUUGGAUUGAGGUUUGUGUCUGUUUUCAAGAUGAAUGUCUACAUAAUUGUUUUCAUCGUGAGAGUAUCUGCUCUAUGACAACAGACCUUGGAAAGCUGUUCAUGAGGGAAUUGAGCAUAUCUGGCUUCUCUCCUUAUAACUGAAGAUAUUGUCAUCAUUAAAAUCCAGGUGGGUCCCCUUGUCCUCCAACUCUGUGAUGUCUCCAUAUCUCUUUACUUUUUAUCUGUUUGAAUCUGCUUACAGAAUUCAUGCCCUAUAGGAAAUCUUCAUUUACAUAAUUACUUUAGCAUACAGGUAAACUGUAGUUCAGUGUCCUGACUUUCCCCUGGCAGUGUCUGGAUGCAACCCAUGUACCAGUUCAGGGAGGACUGGGCAAAGUCCAGAUCAGGGAGGCUGCAGGCCUCUUAUCCCUUUGGGGUGUUAGAACUUCUGGGACAAGCAGGAUUCCGGUCCAAUUGGGAGUGAGUGCUGAAUGGCAGAAGGGCAGGGGAAGAGAGAAGGACUUCUUCAGGAGUCUUAGUGUUACAUAUCAGUUUAGGGGAAGGACUUCACCAUGGUUAUCUUUAAUGAAGCAGCUCUCUAAGAUGAUCUUAGCUUGUUCAUAUUUCUCUAAUGGGGAUGGGCAUGAAUGUAUACACUUUAUUCAGGGUGAACAAGAGACUACGUAAUUUGGGAGAAGGGUGUGAGACUAUCCAGGAAGAGAAAGUUAUUGGCUGAAGGUUAAGGCUAUUUAGAUGCCUCAUUAGUAUGAAAAGACAUUCUAGGUGCUAUGUUACAUGAUUGCCUGCCUGUGGUCACCACAGUUGAGUGUCACGGUUAUGUGCUCCAGAGCAGGCAUAAAGGCAGGGUGGGAACAGUUUUAAUCCUCCUGUCUUAAAUCUCUGAGAUUCCCAGGAUUUGAGCAUGCUCCACCUCAACAGUCCUUAUGCCUAUCUGGUAGCAUGAUCCAGAAGUCCUACAGUAGACAUCACUGGAGAUUUGGAGAGAGGCCCAUUUAUACUCUGCUUGGAUAGUUCUCAUCUCAUUUCUGAGCUCUCACCCUGGGAAGCCAGAAGUUUCUCCCAACUGCAGCUUCAAGCAGCCACUACUUGGAGUACACUCUUCAGGUUAUUGCCUCAAGUUACCACUUGCCUUGCUUGUUCCACAGCUUUCUAACCAUCCUCAAGAGGAAUUCCUGUACAAAUGGCUAAGAGAAUAGAAGGGAGCUACAUUACAGUUAGUUGUCUACACCAUCUUUCUAAUCAUUUAUUUCUUUGGGUACUUCAUAGCCUUUAGGAUACAUAGUAAGAAAUAGUUAAGAGCCACAACAAAAAUAGGAAAUAGGCUGAAACAAAAUGACAACCUUUCUCCCUUUUCUAUAAGUGAGAAGCAUUGCUGGGGGGACUUUCUGAGCCAGAGUUGGAAUUCAAGAUUUCGAAGUCCUACAGGGCAUGGAUAGCAUAUACCAGUUUGAUAGAGGGAGUGCUUCUAGUGUGGUAGGCAUUCUUAUAGGAUGGGUAUUGCUGCCUCAGAAGGGCAGAGGCAGGUCUAGAAGGAGAGAAGGGGCCAUGCUGGUUCACGAUGACUCUGGGUAACUGUCACGUAGCCUCAGCAAAGUAAGAAAGGAGAUCAGGACUUGAAAGACAACAAGGACUGAGAAUGGCCCUGAUGCUGGUGCCCAGAAAGCUGAGAGAAUCUGUACAAUAAGGAUUAUUACAUAUUUUCUCUAAUUCACUGACAAGGGUAUUUGGACAGGUUAUAUUUAGGAAGAGUGAAGUUCUAGGCUGGAGUGAAUUGCCUCUGCAUCUGAGGACUGCUGCCUCAGGUGUGUGGAAGCUGACAGAAAGUACAGGCUGAGUGUACCAGAGAAGAUACGUCAAGGCAUGGAGGCAGCUCUCCUUUAUUAUAUACCCACUUUUGAAAAGACUUUUUCACGUUAUCUUCACUACACCCCUAUGAUACAUGUGUCAUCUGCACCAUCUCAUAAGUAUGGAAACUGCAAACAGAUUGGUGACUUGCAAGUUGGAGCUACAAUUCUGACUGGUCUUUGAAGGGUGUGUGCUAAAUAGAAUAAUACUACUUGAUUUCUGUGAUUAAUGAUGAAACAUGGUCCUAAAAGGGUCUAAAGUAAGUCUACAUUGUUGGGAUAGUUAUACUUGAACAUGAAUUUGAUAGAAAGUACAAAACUGAUCCGUGUCUCAUCUACUGGUUGCAAGGUCUUAGAGAAUGAAGAAAAAGUACCCAUGAAAAUAGCAACCCCAUCAUCACUACUAUUUAUGGGAUUGCUAUAUGCCAGGGUCUAUGCUGAAAGUUUAUGUGAAUUCUAUUAUUCUUUCCAAUCACCCAAACGCUUCCAUUCUAUAGACAGGAAAUGAGCUCAGAGAAAUUAAAUAAAAUUUCCAAGUUCACACACUAAUCAGGGUAGAAGUCAAAUUCAAGUCUUCUUUAGUUCUAGAUGUCCUUAAACUUUUGACCUGAAGGAAAGAUCUGAGGAUUUAAAGGAAAAGGUAUGGUUAGGCAAUUUCUCUUUCAGAAGAUGCAAAUGUAUAGACAUGAGACAAUUUUAAUUAAUAUUAUAGAUGGAAUUAUCUCUACAUAAAUUUCUCUCCCGAGUGUAAUAUUGUUUAGACUCAUUUUGAACAAAUAUUUAUUAGGCUCUACUGUGUACUAGGCAGUGGUAGACAAGACACUCUUGACUGUCUCCAAGCAUCCCAGAAAGUCAGGUAGUUAGGACAUCCCUAUGAAAAAUUCUAAGAACUGUGGGGACUCAAAGACAUUAAUCUAGUUUGUGGUGAUGUCUGAGCAGGCUCAUUGAGGAAGACAUGUAGAAACUCUGUUCUUGAUGCCAGAAGUCCUCCCUGUAUCUUUACUUUGACAUAGAAACUCCUUUCUGUAAUAACUCUAGAGUACGGCAGAAAAAGAGAUCUGAUACCCACAUGAAACAAUGAGAGACAUAGGUUUCUCAUAGGUUGAUGAGUUUGAGAGUUUAAGAGGCACUUCUUAGGACUAAAUGUCAGAGUAGAGAGCGUACGGCAUGAGCUAUGGAGAAGAACAGAUGAAGUUCUGAAGUGAGACCCGUCCUCCACAGCUUGACACUCUGAGGGCCUCCUUGGGUUGUUCACUUGCCAUUGUAUCUGACCUUAUCUUCGGUCUAUAAAGUGAGACAGGUAAACAUUACAUAUACCUCAUAGAAUUUGGAUGAGUACUCCAUAGCCUAUGAAUUCAAAUGGAGCAAAGCAAAUGGCACGUUUGAAGACUUUUGCUAACAGAAGUAUUAGGAUUAAUACAGGAGUACUAUUGUUGCCAUUGAGGAAGAGGAAUGCUUGAAAGUGGCUGUAGUACUUCCCAUGUGGGUGAUGGAGAAAGGGUUUGUUAGGAGGUAGAUUGGAUUUGGGGGUGAAACCAUCAUGUUUACAUAGCUCACGCUCAGGAGAUGGACACGUGAGAUCAACAUCCUAAAGUCAGGCCAGCAUGGAGCACAGAGAACUCAUGUCUGAGACUAUGAGACUAGAUAAGAGAAUCCAGAAAAUAUAAGACAGUGGGACAGAGAAUAAGAUGCUGUGUGUGGGCAGCUGCCUGAUUUCUGGACCAAGACAAACAAACCAAGACAACUCUGCUCCUGCAAUAGGAUGUUGUGGCUCUCAGGUUGCCUUAGCCAGUCACUUGACACCUUAACAGCCUGGGCUAAAGGAAGGCUGCUAUGUGGGCUAAAUUGUACAUGGUACUCUCAUGAAAAGAGGAAAGUUCCUGUGAUGAUUCACUGAAAGUCCUUACACCAGUUAUUUUCCAUUCCUGCUGUGAUAUCCCUGUAUACCUCAGGUUAUGACAUAAAUAUUGUAUGAAGUAUAGAGGGUUGAUAUAGUAUUGAUCUCAACACUAACUGGAAACUUAUUUUUUGUAAAGAAUUUGUUUUCUCCUUGUGAAAUUAUAAAACUUUAGACUAGACAAACAAUGGAAUUGUCACAUUGAAAUAUGUUAUGCAGUGCCUUCUAGGGUUACAAAAUACUUAAAUAUUUGUAAAAUUUCCUGUAAACUUGAUCUUCCAAGUCUAAAAUUGGGCAAAGAUUGGGGAUAUAACCCUAAGCAUAUGAGAUAUUCAAUACACAUGUCAUCUUCCCUUAUAUGAUAGUGGUCAAAAGGUGGCCUAUAGACAUGGUGGAGUGAGUUGUCUGAGGUAUUUCCAGGCUAGGUUAAACUCUAUGAAUAGGCUAGGAAAGAACAGAAAUUCACAUGAAAGCAAGACUCACAAAGAGAUUUAGAAUGAAGACUGGAAAAAUAUUCAUGCUGGACAACAGUUCCGGGAGGCAAGGACGGGGAGGAUGACCAUGGCUCAUUAAUGGCGUGUAGACACUACUAACCGAGAUCCCUUCUCUAACUGUGCAGAGUAUAGGGAAGCUUUCUCACCUUAAGUUCUGGCAAUGUCAUCCGGAAGACUGACCACUCUCAUGCUCCUGUGCUCCACAGUGUGUCUUCUUAGGAACAAGAAAACAGUAAAAGACAAGGCAUGAAAAGGUCCAAGUGAUGUGGACCGUGUACUUGCUGACCAUCUCCACAGAGGUCCCGUGCUGUCUCUUCAUCAUCCCUGUGGCUUAGUAGUUGGAACAGCUUUCGGGAAACCAGGCUCUUGGUACCAAAGACCAUUUCUAGCUCAAACCCAUGUCCUGAGUUUGACAGCCUUCAUUUUUAUCCAAUGGGGGUGGGUAACACACGAGGAAAAAAAAA